Molecule: non-coding RNA, 34 nt
Filed under: Prorocentrum micans
Lineage: Eukaryota; Dinophyceae; Prorocentrales; Prorocentraceae
Source: RNAcentral
GUUUUUUUUUUUUUUUUUUUUUUUUUUUUUUCUU